AACCUCGGGAAACUGAGGAUAAUGUUUUAUAGUUGAAAAGGCUUGGAAAAGUUUUUCAAUGAAAGGGAUAAGGAAAAUGGUUCUUAUUUGCCAUAGGAUAGGAUCGUGGUCGAUUAUGGUAGUUGGUGAGGUAACGGCUCACCAAGCCGAUAAUCGAUAGGGGCCGUGAGAGCGGGAGCCCCGAGAUGGGUACUGAGACAACGACCCAGGCCUUACGAGGCGCAGCAGGCGCGAAACCUCCGCAAUACACGAAAGUGUGACGGGGUUACCCAAAGUGUUCAUAAUUGAACUGUGGUAGGUGAGUAAUAUCCCCUACUAGAAAGGAGAGGGCAAGGCUGGUGCCAGCCGCCGCGGUAAAACCAGCUCUUCAAGUGGUCGGGAUAAUUAUUGGGCUUAAAGUGUCCGUAGCCGGUUUAGUAAGUUCCUGGUAAAAUCGGGUAGCUUAACUAUCUGUAUGCUAGGAAUACUGCUAUACUAGAGGGCGGGAGAGGUCUGAGGUACUACAGGGGUAGGGGUGAAAUCUUAUAAUCCUUGUAGGACCACCAGUGGCGAAGGCGUCAGACUGGAACGCGCCUGACGGUGAGGGACGAAAGCCAGGGGAGCGAACCGGAUUAGAUACCCGGGUAGUCCUGGCCGUAAACGAUGCAUACUAGGUGAUGGCAUGGCUAUGAGCCGUGUCAGUGCCGUAGGGAAACCGUUA
Molecule: ribosomal RNA, 700 nt
Filed under: uncultured archaeon
Lineage: Archaea
Description: bacterial SSU rRNA
Rfam family: Archaeal small subunit ribosomal RNA
Source: RNAcentral